RNAcentral lists this ribosomal RNA (514 nucleotides) under uncultured Archaeospora. RNAcentral's name for it is "SSU rRNA". It matches the Rfam family "Eukaryotic small subunit ribosomal RNA", at positions 571 to 1092 of the family's 1831-position model. The record is from RNAcentral. Lineage: Eukaryota; Fungi; Glomeromycota; Glomeromycetes; Archaeosporales; Archaeosporaceae.
CAGCCGCGUAAUUCCAGCUCCAAUAGCGUAUAUUAAAGUUGUUGCAGUUAAAAAGCUCGUAGUUGAAUUUUAGGCCUGACCGGACGGUCCGUCUCUGGCGAGUACUGUUCUGUUGUCGGGUCUAUCCUUCUGGUGAGCCGGUAUGCCCUUUAUUGGGUGUGUCGGGGAACCAGGACCAUUACCUUGAAAAAAUUAGAGUGUUUAAAGCGGGCUUUUGCUUGAAUAGAUUAGCAUGGAAUAAUAGAAUAGGACGUUGGUUCUAUUUUGUUGGUCUAGGACCACCGUAAUGAUUAAUAGGGAUAGUUGGGGGCAUUAGUAUUCAAUUGUCAGAGGUGAAAUUCUUGGAUUUAUUGAAGACUAACUACUGCGAAAGCAUUUGCCAAGGAUGUUUUCAUUAAUCAAGAACGAAAGUUAGGGGAUCGAAGACGAUCAGAUACCGUCGUAGUCUUAACAAUAAACUAUGCCGACUAGGAAUCGGGCGACGUUAUUCUCAUGACUCGCUCGGCGCCUUAUG